AGGUUGACCGGCUACAGCGGGUGACUCAACCUGGGAAAUGAAAGAAAGAGAUUUUUCAGGUGGAGAUUGUACGGUCAAUAGGGUUUUUGCUGUAGGUUUUAUGUUAGUUUGUGUUUUGAGCGUUUUGUAUCUAAAUGAGAAUCUUAAUAAAUCUCAAUUAGUGUAUUGCCCCAACCCUUCAAAAUCCCACCUCUCACCCCCUCUCAUUCCAUCCUUCUCUCUCUCUCUCUCUCUCUCUCUCUCUCUCUCUCGUAUACAUGGAUAAAUGGUAUUUUGAGGGGAAUGUUGGCUGGUUCGAGGCUUUCUUUUGUAAUUAGGAGAGAAGCAUCGGACCAGGCUUCAUUCCUCUCAAAAUUCUGUCCUCUCUCUCUCUCUUUCUCUUUCUCAGCUGGAGAUUUUCUUGUUAAGGUUAGGUUGUGGGGAAUGUUGUCUGGCUCGAGGUCAUGUAGGCCAUACACUCGAGUCUGUGUAUUUGGACAGAGGCUCAAGACAUGGGAUUCAACCACACAUGACCUCGGACCAGGCUUCAUUCCCCUCAACCAAUUUUUGCCGUCUUCUUCUUCUUCUCUUUUCCGCUCAAUUGAUGCCGCUGAGAGAUUAGAGUGUAGGUGGCAUGGAAAUGUAGGGUGUUGAUUUCAAUGUCUUUUGGUGGGUCAUGGGUCAUUUAAGAAGGGGCUGACGCUUGUGACAUGUGGGGUGAGUGAAUGGAGAUGAUGCCAUAGAUAGAUUUUAAGGAGAAGGUGGAGAGUUUCAUGGCAACUGGAUUUUUGAGGCCAUAAAUAUGGAGGGUUGGAUGUGAUGCACUGGGAGGAGGAGACGGCCAGAUGGAGAGGUGAUGUAUUAAUAAGGGCUUUUAAAGGUGGUGAAGGUUUAUUUCCUUUAAUAGAAAGGCUCCUGAACAGGGUUGGCAGCGUUGCACCCAUGACAUAUGUGUGUCAUAUGAUUGAUGGGAAUUUGUUUUUGAAAAUCAAAGAAAGAAAUAAAGUAAAAAAGAAAAAAGAAGAAA
This is a long non-coding RNA of Magnolia sinica, 1006 nucleotides long. RefSeq lists it as uncharacterized. The transcript has 2 exons. Lineage: Eukaryota; Viridiplantae; Streptophyta; Magnoliopsida; Magnoliales; Magnoliaceae. The record is from RefSeq and is a predicted model, not a curated record.